RNAcentral lists this transfer RNA (88 nucleotides) under Kiritimatiellia bacterium. RNAcentral's name for it is "Kiritimatiellae bacterium (gut metagenome) tRNA-Leu". It matches the Rfam family "tRNA". From Rfam's summary of the family: Transfer RNA (tRNA) molecules are approximately 80 nucleotides in length. Lineage: Bacteria; Pseudomonadati; Kiritimatiellota; Kiritimatiellia. The record is from RNAcentral.
GCCAGGAUGGUGGAAUGGCAGACACCAGGGACUUAAAAUCCCUUGCCGGGUUUCUGGCGUGAGGGUUCGAGUCCCUCCUCUGGCACCA